CCCUCGAUAGCUCAGUUGGAAGAGCGGAGGACUGUAGAUGUUACAACGGUGAUCCUUAGGUCGCUGGUUCAAAUCCGGCUCGAGGGA
RNAcentral lists this transfer RNA (87 nucleotides) under Cordylochernes scorpioides. Its description in RNAcentral is "tRNA-Tyr". It matches the Rfam family "tRNA". From Rfam's summary of the family: Transfer RNA (tRNA) molecules are approximately 80 nucleotides in length. Their secondary structure includes four short double-helical elements and three loops (D, anti-codon, and T loops). Further hydrogen bonds mediate the characteristic L-shaped molecular structure. tRNAs have two regions of fundamental functional importance: the anti-codon, which is responsible for specific mRNA codon recognition, and the 3' end, to which the tRNAs corresponding amino acid is attached (by aminoacyl-tRNA synthetases). tRNAs cope with the degeneracy of the genetic code in two manners: having more than one tRNA (with a specific anti-codon) for a particular amino acid; and 'wobble' base-pairing, i.e. permitting non-standard base-pairing at the 3rd anti-codon position. The record is from RNAcentral. Lineage: Eukaryota; Metazoa; Arthropoda; Arachnida; Pseudoscorpiones; Chernetidae.